ACUCCUACGGGAGGCAGCAGUGGGAAUAUUGCACAAUGGGCGCAAGCCUGAUGCAGCCAUGCCGCGUGUAUGAAGAAGGCCUUCGGGUUGUAAAGUACUUUCAGCAGUGAGGAAGGCGGUACGUUAAUAGUACGUGCUCGUUUGAUCGUUUAGCUGCAGAAGAAGACACCGGCGUAACUCCGUGCCAGCAGCCGCGGUAAUACGGAGGGUGCGAGCGUUAAUCGGAAUUACUGGGCGUAAAGCGCAUGCAGGUGGUUUGUUAAGUCAGAUGUGAAAGCCCGGGGCUCAACCUCGGAA
RNAcentral lists this ribosomal RNA (297 nucleotides) under uncultured bacterium. Its description in RNAcentral is "partial 16S ribosomal RNA". It matches the Rfam family "Bacterial small subunit ribosomal RNA", at positions 335 to 620 of the family's 1533-position model. The record is from RNAcentral.